AGUGUACAGCUCAGCUCUUUGACCUAGCUCUUCCUUUUCAAGGG
This 44-nucleotide non-coding RNA is filed under the name Alexandrium minutum. Lineage: Eukaryota; Dinophyceae; Gonyaulacales; Pyrocystaceae. The record is from RNAcentral.